This 708-nucleotide ribosomal RNA is filed under the name Triticum aestivum (bread wheat). Its description in RNAcentral is "partial small subunit ribosomal RNA". Lineage: Eukaryota; Viridiplantae; Streptophyta; Magnoliopsida; Poales; Poaceae. The record is from RNAcentral.
AUGAAUCUGACGGAGAAGGAGAACACAAAGCUGGUGGUUGACGAUCAGGAAGAUACAGGAGCGGCUCCACAGUGGGCGCUCGUGGGGAAGGUGCUGUACCGCAAGUUUUUGCAUGUGAACACAAUUGAAGAUGCACUACGCCCUGCUUGGGGUAAUCCAAGAGGGCUGACCUUUAACUCUGUUGGCGAGAACAUGUUUGUUGCGAAUCUGGAUGGACAGAGGGACAGAGAUCGCAUCUUUGAGGGCGGUCCAUGGAUGGUUGGUAAACACGCAGUAGUGCUGGAAAUUUUUGAUUGUAGAUCAAGGCCGUCCAAUUGCAAGUUUGAGAAGCUGCAAAUCUGGGCAAGAAUCGUAAACUUGCCGUUCAAUCUCCGGUACCCGCCGUGGCCGGAGAGAAUUGCAGGUAUGGUGGGUAAAGUAAGCAGACUGGAUGUGGAUGCUAAAGGGUUCGCCUUUGGUGAAUCCCUGAGAGCCCGGGUAUGGAUACAAGUGAAAGAGCCUCUGAUGCGGUGGGUUCAGACUGAAUCAACAAGAACAAAGGAGACUAUACUCUAUGACAUACAUUAUGAGAAUCUGUCGUACUUCUGUUUUUCGUGUGGACUGCUUGGACACGCGGACGGUUUUUGCCCCAACCCAGCGGUGAGAGAUGAAGACGGCCGCUUGCCGUACAAGGAGAAGCUAAGGUGGUCGGCUGUGAAGAAGAGCUAG